GUGUCAGCAGCCGCGGUAAUACGGAGGGGGCUAGCGUUGUUCGGAAUUACUGGGCGUAAAGCGUACGUAGGCGGCUUUGUAAGUUAGAGGUGAAAGCCCGGGGCUCAACCCCGGAAUUGCCUUUAAGACUGCAUCGCUAGAAUCAUGGAGAGGUGAGUGGAAUUCCGAGUGUAGAGGUGAAAUUCGUAGAUAUUCGGAAGAACACCAGUGGCGAAGGCGACUCACUGGACAUGUAUUGACGCUGAGGUACGAAAGCGUGGGGAGCAAACAGGAUUAGAAACCCGCGUAGUCC
This 292-nucleotide ribosomal RNA is filed under the name uncultured bacterium. Its description in RNAcentral is "partial 16S ribosomal RNA". It matches the Rfam family "Bacterial small subunit ribosomal RNA", at positions 505 to 796 of the family's 1533-position model. The record is from RNAcentral.